CCCUUUAUCUUUCUCGCUCUCUUCUCUCCCUGGCGCACGAGCGCUGCGCUCCCAGGGCGCAUCGCCGCCGCUUCCUCCUCUCCCCCCCUUCCUUCCUUCCUCUCUUUCCCUGUUCAAACCCUAACUAUCCCUCGCCUCUCCAAUAGCCGCUGCUGCCGUGGAGAUGGCCGGUGCCAAGCACUGCGCAACUCCGGCGGCCCUGUUGGUCUCUCUGCUGUCUCACUUCAGCAUCUUCUUGCUGCUUUGGUUUACAUGGUAAGAUAUGUGAAAAUCUUGAUUGAUAUCUGGAUCUGCUACUUCCCUUGCUUUUCCUGGUGUUGA
RNAcentral lists this long non-coding RNA (321 nucleotides) under Oryza sativa aus subgroup. Its description in RNAcentral is "lncRNA OsNaBo_08g0010280". Lineage: Eukaryota; Viridiplantae; Streptophyta; Magnoliopsida; Poales; Poaceae. The record is from RNAcentral.